UCCUGGUUAGUUCAGUUGGUAGAGCUGUCAACUUGAGAUGGAGAGGUCCCUGCUUCGAUACUAGGACCAGGCG
RNAcentral lists this transfer RNA (73 nucleotides) under Ixodes scapularis (black-legged tick). RNAcentral describes it as "tRNA-Ser for anticodon UGA". Lineage: Eukaryota; Metazoa; Arthropoda; Arachnida; Ixodida; Ixodidae. The record is from RNAcentral.